Molecule: transfer RNA, 73 nt
Filed under: Betaproteobacteria bacterium
Lineage: Bacteria; Pseudomonadati; Pseudomonadota; Betaproteobacteria
Also listed under: 1 other name
Description: tRNA-Gly
Source: RNAcentral
GCGGGGAUAGCUCAGGGAAGAGCGCGAUCUAUCCCAGGUCGAGACAUGAGUUCGAAGCUCAUUCCCCGCUCCA